Molecule: long non-coding RNA, 4102 nt
Organism: Peromyscus californicus insignis
Lineage: Eukaryota; Metazoa; Chordata; Mammalia; Rodentia; Cricetidae
Exons: 3
Source: RefSeq, a predicted model, not a curated record
UAUAUAUCUCUCUGAGGGUGCCAGAACCUCUGGAACUGGAGUUACAGACGGUUGGAGCUGCCAUGUGAGUGCUGGGAAUUGAACCCGGGGUCUUUGGAAGAGCAGCUGGUGCUCUCAACUACUGGGCUAUCUCUCCAACCCCAGCAAAUUGCUGUUUUUAUUUUUUAUUUUUUGGUUUUUUGAGAUAAGGUUUCUCUGUGGAAUAGCCCUAGCUGUCCUGGAACUCAAUUUGUAGACCAGGCUGGGUAAAUCGCUUAAAAAAUUUUUUUUUUUAAAAUUUUUAAAAUUUUUAAAAAAUUUUUUGAGGCAGGGUUUCACUGUGUAACUUUGGAGCCUAUCUUGGAACUCCCUUGUUAGACCAGGCUGGCCUUGAACUCACAGAGAUCCCCCUGCCUCUGCCUCCCGAGUGCUGGGAUUAAAGGCAUGUGCCACCACGGCCCAGCUUAAUUUUAAUUUUUAAUAAAUUUAUUUAUUAUUUAUUUUACAUCCAGGCUGCAGUUUCCCCUCCCUCUCCUCCCAGUCCCUCCCCCCCCACCUCUUCUGUCCCCACCUCCCAAUUCACUCCUCCUCUGUUUCUGUUUAGGAAAGGGCGGGCAGGUUUCCUUUGAGUAUCAACAAAACAUGGCAUAUCAAGUUGCAGUAAGACUAAGCACCUCCCCUUGUAUUAAGGCUGGGCAAGGUGACCCAGGAUGAGGAGUAGGGUCCCAAAAGCCCAUAAAAGAGACAUCCCCUGCUCCCACUGUUAAGAGUCCCACAAGAGGACCAUGCCUUACAUAUAACACACGUGUAACGGCUAACGUAUAUGCAGAGUGCCUAGAUGCAAAUUGCUUUUUAAGGAUGUGUUUUGUGUAUAUUUAUUGAUGUAAGUGUGUAUGUGUGCGCAUGAAUGUGGGUGUCUGCGGCCACCCCGAAGCCAGAGGUUUUCCUUCUUGCAUGCGACGAUGUCAUUUGAGUAGAACAUCACUGUUACAGACGCCAGAACAGUGAGAGAAAGGAGAAGGUGACCAGGAUGAGACUCUAAGAGGAGAAAAAUGAGAAGCCAUUUGGUGAUUCCCAAGUAUUGCAAUCGCAUGAAGAAUUUAUGGAGAGUUCACAUGCCUGCACUCUGCCCCAGUACUCGAUCAGAAUCGAUGGAGGUAAAACUCCAAGUUUAAACAGUCUCUUAGAUGGUUUUCGCAGAGUGAAGUUUGAGACACUCCCUUGAUGGCUGGCUUCUGACCCCCAGCCUGCAGACAGGUGGAGGCAUGCAGAUGAGUGAUCAAGCACCCUCCUCGACGAGUGGAUAACAUGCUUCUCAAGUGUACAUACAACUCUUGACCAGCGCUUGUCAGUGGUGUUAAGAUGUACGCGCCUUUAGCCAUCUAAUUGUGAUAUCAAACUCAAAGAGGGAUUUGUCCUAAAAGUAAAAUUAUAGUCACCUGGAGGUCCAAGAAACCUUUUGGCAUUUCAUUUGAGGACUCUUUUCUCAGGACACAGCUCUGUUCUUUUUCUAGUUUGCUCACAGAAACACAGGCAUUUUAUCGGAGCCGUUUUUCUACCUUCUGAAGACCUGGAAUAUUACGGCUCUAUGACUUGACUUAGUCGGGAGGGGACUGAAUCAGGAAUCCGGAAAUACAUGUGAGAUUUCUACUUGUGACAAUAAUCUUCACUUUGGGGCCUUUGAGUGCAUUAUCUUAUUUUAGCAUUAAAGUAGCUUUUCAAAGGGUGUAUGAUAUACGUAGAUUUAGUUGCAGAAUCUCAUCUCAUAAAAGGUAGGCCUCAUGCAUUUUGCUUUCCUUGCUCAUGCAGCACAUCUUGGUACAUAAGUAGGGAAACUGGGUGGUAGAGAGGGAAAACAGCUUCCUGCUCAAAGUCUCCAAGCUGGUCACUGGAGAGCUGGAAAGGAGUGUUAGCAGUGCUUGACUGGACAGCUUUUUCUUUACCCCAGCGCGACACUGUUGCCUGCAGUCCUGCUGAUUUCUGCCUAAUUCAUGAGCCCCACUUUCUUGCUACAGAACUGAAAAAUGGCUUGAACUUCAAGAUUAAAACAAAACAAAACAACAAAAAACAGAUAUUGAACCUGGUAGUGGAAGCGCACACCUUUAAUCUCAGUACUCGGGAGACGGAGGCAGGUGGAUCUCCGAGUUUGAGACCAGCCUGGUCUACAGAGCCAGUUCCAGGACAGCCAGGAUUACACAAGGGAAACCCUGUCUGGAAAAACAAAACAAAUAGAUAUUGAACAUCUAUGAGGAAAUGUGUACAGGGCACCCUGGCUCUUAGCAUUAUGUGUACUGUCCUGUUGGUUGUCCUGUUAGCAAAAGGACACAGCAGUGCCGAGCGGAGGGGAGGGGAGUGCCCCGGGAGAGCUGCUGGAGGAGAAGAGCCUCUGCAAACAGUCUGGCUAGAUGGCUGCCCUAGCCUCUCUUUCAGGUGGCAGUUGCCAUGGUGCUUCAGGGGAAGAGGGAGGGAGUGAAGAGCAAGGAGGGUCAUUCAGAGUCUGGGCUGGUAUUCCUUUUCAGAGUGCAUUCCCUUAGGGAUGGCAGGAAUUUAAACAUUCCAGAGAGGGAGGACAGGGCUCACUCUUGGCUUUCCUUUAAAUACCAGAGAAACUGGAGUUUGUAAAGAGGAGAAAGUCUGCUGCCAGAAGAUGUGGUCCAGAUUUAAGGUGGAUCUUUCUGCUUCAAAAGAUACAGAUUUAGCAUGGCUCUUCCCACUUCAAAUGAUUCAAUCAAGCAAAAGCCCUCACAGUGUUCUGCCUGCAUGUAUGCCUGCACACCAGAAGAGGGCACCAGAUCUCAUUACAGAUGUCUGUGAAUCACCAUGUGGCUGCUGAGAAUUGAACUCAGGACCUCUGGAAGAGCAGUCAGUGCUCUUAACCUCUGAGGCAUCUCUCCAGCCCAACCACCAGCACUUUCUCAGUGAUAUUUGCAUAUAUACUUCUGAGAAACCAGGGGUACCGGCCUUGUAAGCAGGUAUAAAAUACUUUUUGAGGUAUCACAACGGGCAAGACAAGAAGGGAGUGGGUGACACCAUAGAAAUUCUGGAGGCAGUGGCAGUUGGUAGAAGAGUGCUUUAUAAGGACCUGGAUGACUCUUUAACCCAGGCUGGCCUGGAACUCACAGUGUAGCCCAGGUUGGUCUUGAACCAAACAGCAAUCUCCCUGCCUCAGUUUCUUAAGUGCUGGGAUUACUGGAGUGAGCCAACAGGCCUGGCUUUGAUAGCACUUGUGGACAGGGUGGCUGGUACAUGGGGAAGUAGACAGAGGUGAGGAGAGGGCAGUGAAUUUUGGAGCAGAGACUGGACAUGACAUGGGAGGGAGUCAAUGACCUGAUUAUGUGUCUAUGAGGUUUAGCACCCCCCCCCCAUCUUGGUCAAUUACUUUCACCAUUUUUUGGUUGAAUAUGUUAUGUUGUGUGUGUGUGUGUGUAUGUGUGUGUGUGCGUGUGCGUGUGUGAAUUAGUUCAAGUCUGAAAGAGGAUGAAGAAAGGACCCUGGGAAAAUAGGUAUGUUAUUCAAGAGAAGUUUUGUUUUGUUUUACCCCAUUGCUUAUCUUUAUCUCUACAGAUAUUCACCAUCCUCCUAUAUACAUUGGCCUAUAGUACUAAGCCAUAAAUUAUGGAACUGAAACUCUAACACAUUUAUUUACAACUAGGUCUCCUCUAGAUACAAUGAAUAUUCUGCAGCUUGGUUUAGAUUUAAAUUUAAAUUGCCUCCACUUACCCCCUGCAUGACCUUAGGCAUUUUAUCUCACUCCUUAGGGCCUUAGUUUCUUCCUAUGCAAACUCAGGCUAUUAGGACUGUGGUGGUGAUUUAGCAGAAUUCAGGGAAAGCCUUCGGCCUAGUGCCUGGCAGUUUUCCAGAUUCACUGCGUGUGAUAGCUUAACCUCACUUUGCUGUCCUCCAUGGGCCACGAGUUGAACUCAGGACCCCUGGAAGAGCAGUCAGCGCUCUUAACCUCUGAGCCCUCUCUCCAGCCCCGAAAGCUCUAUACGUACUCCGAAACCCCGAGUGUACCCGAUAAAAUGUUCUUCCUAUUCUGUUUCAAAAGAUGAAAUUUACCAUUGACCAAGAGUCUCUUCCUUACUAGGUACUUUAGUGGCUGGCCAUGAGAGCAAAAGACCAA